Molecule: non-coding RNA, 182 nt
Filed under: Lysinibacillus sphaericus
Lineage: Bacteria; Bacillati; Bacillota; Bacilli; Caryophanales; Bacillaceae
Source: RNAcentral
GAAUAGCGUGUAGUAAUAGGUGUAAAUUGAAUCAAUUUACUAAAAGGGAAGUCGGUGGAAGUCCGACACUGUCCCGCAACUGUAAAUGUGAGCGUCUUUUUUGAAUACCACUGUCUAAAGACGGGAAGGGGAAAGAUGCGUUGACCGUAAGUCAGGAGACCUGCCUAUUACGAGUACACACC